This 468-nucleotide ribosomal RNA is filed under the name uncultured bacterium. RNAcentral's name for it is "partial 16S ribosomal RNA". It matches the Rfam family "Bacterial small subunit ribosomal RNA", at positions 28 to 507 of the family's 1533-position model. The record is from RNAcentral.
GACGAACGCUGGCGGCGUGCUUAACACAUGCAAGUCGAACGGAAAGGCCCUGCUUUUGUGGGGUGCUCGAGUGGCGAACGGGUGAGUAACACGUGAGUAACCUGCCCUUGACUUUGGGAUAACUUCAGGAAACUGGAGCUAAUACCGGAUAGGAGCUCCUGCUGCAUGGUGGGGGUUGGAAAGUUUCGGCGGUUGGGGAUGGACUCGCGGCUUAUCAGCUUGUUGGUGGGGUAGUGGCUUACCAAGGCUUUGACGGGUAGCUGGCCUGAGAGGGUGACCGGCCACAUUGGGACUGAGAUACGGCCCAGACUCCUACGGGAGGCAGCAGUGGGGAAUAUUGCACAAUGGGCGGAAGCCUGAUGCAGCAACGCCGCGUGCGGGAUGACGGCCUUCGGGUUGUAAACCGCUUUCGCCUGUGACGAAGCGUGAGUGACGGUAAUGGGUAAAGAAGCACCGGCUAACUCCGUG